UUCAAUGAUUCACCAACAACAGAGGCAACCUGGAAAGGACUUCUAAACAAUGACAUCUAUCAUAUCUGGAAUCAUGGCCCAAAGAUUGGUGGGGGCUUUGAUUGCCGGUAUUGCCGCCUAAAGAGUAGAGGAGGUGCAACCCGCUUUAGGGAGCACCUUGCUGGUAUACCAGGUGAUGUCAGGGAGUGCCCAAAUGUUCCAAGGAAUGUUCGUGCUGCAAUGAGGGAGUCCCGGGAUGUGACAAUGCUGAGGUCUGCCCGGCUUAGGAAAGUCAAGAAGGUCAAGAACGUCAGCAGCCUCUACAAAUAAGAUAGGUUAAGAAGCCUGGGAGCAAAGCUAUGUUGCUGUUUCAUGCAAGAUGCGUGUGAGUUCAUAUUCUCGUUUUGGGACAGUUGAAGAAUGUUUUGGGGCAGUGUAAGAACGUGAAGUCAAAAUGAGUUCAUGUUCUCGUUUUGGGGCCAGUAUGAUUGGACUUUGAAGUGCCCGGUUGUAGUAUAGAUUGUGAUUCUGAACUGUCUGUUAACUAGCCUAGCCUACUGUUGGACUAAUAUGUUGUGAUGGUUAAUAUCGGCUAUUGUUGAACUGUGGUUCUUAUGUUGUUAUUUUUGGGCACUGUUGAUCAAAUGCUCUUAUCUGAUGGAUAGAUUCUGCCGUA
Molecule: long non-coding RNA, 655 nt
Organism: Lolium rigidum
Lineage: Eukaryota; Viridiplantae; Streptophyta; Magnoliopsida; Poales; Poaceae
Exons: 3
Source: RefSeq, a predicted model, not a curated record